UGAAAUUAUAUUGUUUAUCAUUAUAUCUUUCUACAUAUUCUUAGUCGAUGAGACAAUUGUAAGCCGUUUUAUUAUUCUUAUGUGCCAGCUUUAACUAUUCUUGGACAAGGCUUAUUUCCUUUGUGGUUCUUUUCUUAGCUCGGCUACUGCGGAGGUGCUGAUGUUUAAAGUUCAAAGCUGAGAUAAAUGUUAUGGAUAUCCUGUCAGUUGAUUCCAGCCUUAAGAACCUAUUCAUACAUUUAGACAGAUACUAUUACUGCUGGAAUUCUUGGAAUUUAACUGGAUGGAUGGAAUUUACUGCUGGAAUUCUUGAAAAAUAAUGCAAUUUCACUAUAGGCAAAUCUGGCUUUUUACUGCAUCACCAAAGAUAUUACAAAAUCCUUGGUUAUUCAAAAUCUUUUUGUAUUACAGGAACAUGAAGGUAAAUAUGUGGCGAUUCGAAGCACAUAUAGUAUUUAUUUAAUAAUGAGGGGCAAAACUGGGCCACCUUGUUUUCCCCCGCCCCGUUUCCCUUGAUUUGUGAUAAACCCGUAGCGGGUCAUGCCAUUUACUUACCAUUUAAUCCGCACCGCUUAAUCGAGCAUCUUUCGUCUAGAGAUUUUUCUAACCAUGUACUUGUGUCUUCUUCGUCACUUUCUCGGGGUUUGAAUCCAAGACCUUUAUUUUACAUAGCCAAUGCUCUACCACUGAGCUACUGCUUGCAUAUUACUUCAAAUUACUUCUUCAUAUGAUUUAUGUACCUAAGUGAAAAUGACGAUAGAGCCUCAAAUGUCAAUGGAGGGAAUAAAAUUUCCCUUUGGUUCCAAAAAAA
This is a long non-coding RNA of Daphnia magna, 811 nucleotides long. RefSeq lists it as uncharacterized. Lineage: Eukaryota; Metazoa; Arthropoda; Branchiopoda; Diplostraca; Daphniidae. The record is from RefSeq and is a predicted model, not a curated record. The transcript has 3 exons.